Molecule: long non-coding RNA, 738 nt
Filed under: Canis lupus dingo (dingo)
Lineage: Eukaryota; Metazoa; Chordata; Mammalia; Carnivora; Canidae
Description: lncRNA (ENSCAFG00020025336.1)
Source: RNAcentral
AUGAGAACAGCAGGAAAAUCAAUUACAAAGAGAGAAGUCAAAGAAAGUAAAGGCCUCUUGUGGUUGGCACCUUUCCCACCAGUCUCAGAUGGGAAAGCCAAAUCCCUCAGAACUCUACUGCCCAAGAGCACGAGGCACUCAAAAGGUGGACUAGAACCCAAGUCCAGUUCUCCUUCUCCUGGAGCAGGCUAUCCUCCAGUAAAGAGCUUGAAAAAUACUGAAUUAAUAUCAAGUUCAAAUAAUCGAGAACAACAUUUAGCUAAACUAUUUGGUUUCAUCAAAGCAGCUAGUGUUGCUGGGUAUUCUACUGAACCAAGAUUUCUCCUUGGCAGCAUGGACAGAAUUUCUAUUAAUGGGAGGAGGGAUAAGGAACCCUCUCUCGUCAAUGGGAACAUAAAUGAGCGGCUUACUACUGGUGAUGAAGAAGGAUUUCAAGAAGCAGUUAGGACAGAUACUCAAGAUAAGAAUGUGCCAUGUACACAGCUUCUGCACUUUCUCCAGAGGAACAUCAUCCUUGCCGCUGCCUCGGUGGCGGGAAUCCUCGUGGUCACAACGUUGUUGCUGCUGGCAUUGACCACGUGCAUCAGGAGGAAACGGCCAUUACAUCCUCCGGCAAACACGACGUAUAAUGUUUUUAUUAUGAGUGGGAAGUCUUGGUGGCAAAAGUAUCAAGAAAAGAACCUCAGAAAACACAGCGAUAAACAGAAACAGUUGUUGAAGAGCAAGUCCCAUAUCUAA